AACGAACGCUGGCGGCGUGUUUAAGACAUGCAAGUCGCACGGUGUCAUUUUGGUAGCAAUACUUGGAUGGCAUAGUGGCGCACGGGUGAGUAACACGUGAAUUACAUGCCCUGUAGAGGGGGAUAGCCCAGGGAAACUUGGAUUAAUACCCCAUGGUCUCGCAAGAGUAAAAGGUGGCCGCAAGGCUGUCGCCGCAGGAUUGGUUCGCGCCCUAUCAGCUUGUUGGCGGGGUAACGGCCCACCAAGGCUACGACGGGUACCUGGUAUGAGAGGACGAUCAGGCGCACUGGAACGGAGACACGGUCCCGACACCUACGGGUGGCAGCAGUCGAGGAUAAUUCACAAUGGGGGCAACCCUGAUGGUGCAACGCCGCGUGGAGGAUGACGGUCUUCGGAUUGUAAACGCCUGUCAUCCGGGAGUAAGACCUGGGCAUUAACAGUGCACAGGGUUGAUAGUACCGGAAGAGGAAGGGACGGCUAACUUCGUGCCAGCCGCCGCAGUAA
Molecule: ribosomal RNA, 504 nt
Filed under: uncultured bacterium
Lineage: Bacteria
Description: partial 16S ribosomal RNA
Rfam family: Bacterial small subunit ribosomal RNA
Source: RNAcentral